GAAGGCAUACUAGUCAAGAAAUUACUCUACUGACACAUCACCAAUACAAACAUCUACAUUCUUAGAGAAAGAAACUUAAUUCAUUAACAAAAAUAUUAUCAUGAUUAACUACAUAGGCUUAGGUUGUAAUUGAGGAACAUGGUACCACAAUAGAUUGCCCCAUAAUAACAUAGGCUCCACCACAUGCAUCAUAGUCUCCACAUGAUCCC
This 209-nucleotide long non-coding RNA is filed under the name Vigna radiata. RNAcentral's name for it is "long non-coding RNA (VRAD_LNC005032)". The record is from RNAcentral. Lineage: Eukaryota; Viridiplantae; Streptophyta; Magnoliopsida; Fabales; Fabaceae.